Molecule: ribosomal RNA, 253 nt
Filed under: uncultured bacterium
Lineage: Bacteria
Also listed under: 1 other name
Description: partial 16S ribosomal RNA
Rfam family: Bacterial small subunit ribosomal RNA
Source: RNAcentral
UACGAAGGGGGCUAGCGUUGCUCGGAAUCACUGGGCGUAAAGGGUGCGUAGGCGGGUUUCUAAGUCAGAGGUGAAAUCCUGGAGCUCAACUCCAGAACUGCCUUUGAUACUGGAAGUCUUGAGUAUGGGAGAGGUGAGUGGAACUGCGAGUGUAGAGGUGAAAUUCGUAGAUAUUCGCAAGAACACCAGUGGCGAAGGCGGCUCACUGGCCCAUUACUGACGCUGAGGCACGAAAGCGUGGGGAGCAAACAGG